Molecule: ribosomal RNA, 1247 nt
Filed under: uncultured Halomonas sp.
Lineage: Bacteria; Pseudomonadati; Pseudomonadota; Gammaproteobacteria; Oceanospirillales; Halomonadaceae
Description: bacterial SSU rRNA
Rfam family: Bacterial small subunit ribosomal RNA
Source: RNAcentral
ACCUGGGGAAACCCAGGCUAAUACCGCAUACGUCCUACGGGAGAAAGGGGGCUUCGGCUCCCGCUAUUGGAUGAGCCUAUGUCGGAUUAGCUAGUUGGUGAGGUAAAGGCUCACCAAGGCAACGAUCCGUAGCUGGUCUGAGAGGAUGAUCAGCCACAUCGGGACUGAGACACGGCCCGAACUCCUACGGGAGGCAGCAGUGGGGAAUAUUGGACAAUGGGGGCAACCCUGAUCCAGCCAUGCCGCGUGUGUGAAGAAGGCCCUCGGGUUGUAAAGCACUUUCAGCGAGGAAGAACGCCUAGCGGUUAAUACCCGUUAGGAAAGACAUCACUCGCAGAAGAAGCACCGGCUAACUCCGUGCCAGCAGCCGCGGUAAUACGGAGGGUGCAAGCGUUAAUCGGAAUUACUGGGCGUAAAGCGCGCGUAGGUGGCUUGAUAAGCCGGUUGUGAAAGCCCCGGGCUCAACCUGGGAACGGCAUCCGGAACUGUCAGGCUAGAGUGCAGGAGAGGAAGGUAGAAUUCCCGGUGUAGCGGUGAAAUGCGUAGAGAUCGGGAGGAAUACCAGUGGCGAAGGCGGCCUUCUGGACUGACACUGACACUGAGGUGCGAAAGCGUGGGUAGCAAACAGGAUUAGAUACCCUGGUAGUCCACGCCGUAAACGAUGUCGACCAGCCGUUGGGUGCCUAGAGCACUUUGUGGCGAAGUUAACGCGAUAAGUCGACCGCCUGGGGAGUACGGCCGCAAGGUUAAAACUCAAAUGAAUUGACGGGGGCCCGCACAAGCGGUGGAGCAUGUGGUUUAAUUCGAUGCAACGCGAAGAACCUUACCUACCCUUGACAUCUACAGAAGCCGGAAGAGAUUCUGGUGUGCCUUCGGGAACUGUAAGACAGGUGCUGCAUGGCUGUCGUCAGCUCGUGUUGUGAAAUGUUGGGUUAAGUCCCGUAACGAGCGCAACCCUUGUCCUUAUUUGCCAGCACGUAAUGGUGGGAACUCUAAGGAGACUGCCGGUGACAAACCGGAGGAAGGUGGGGACGACGUCAAGUCAUCGUGGCCCUUACGGGUAGGGCUACACACGUGCUACAAUGGCCGGUACAAAGGGCUGCGAGCUCGCGAGAGUCAGCGAAUCCCUUAAAGCCGGUCUCAGUCCGGAUCGGAGUCUGCAACUCGACUCCGUGAAGUCGGAAUCGCUAGUAAUCGUGAAUCAGAAUGUCACGGUGAAUACGUUCCCGGGCCUUGUACACACCGCC